UCCGGUUUGUCACCGGCAGUCUCAUUAGAGUGCCCUUGCGUAGCAACUAAUGAUAAGGGUUGCGCUCGUUGCGGGACUUAACCCAACAUCUCACGACACGAGCUGACGACGGCCAUGCAGCACCUGUGUUACGGCUCCCUUUCGGGCACUCCUGCAUCUCUGCAGGAUUCCGUACAUGUCAAGGGUAGGUAAGGUUUUUCGCGUUGCGUCGAAUUGAACCACAUCAUCCACCGCUUGUGCGGGCCCCCGUCAAUUCCUUUGAGUUUUAAUCUUGCGACCGUACUCCCCAGGCGGGGCGCUUAAUGCGUUAGCUACGGCACGGAGAACGUGGAAUGCUCCCCACACCUAGCGCCCAUCGUUUAGGGCGUGGACUAC
RNAcentral lists this unclassified non-coding RNA (375 nucleotides) under uncultured Gammaproteobacteria bacterium. Its description in RNAcentral is "contains 16S-23S intergenic spacer region". The record is from RNAcentral. Lineage: Bacteria; Pseudomonadati; Pseudomonadota; Gammaproteobacteria.